GCCAGGGAUGGUGGCGUGUGCCUGUAGUCCCAGCUACUCGGGAGGCUGAGGUGGGAGGAUCGCUUGAGUCCAGGAGUUCUGGGCUGUUGUGCGCUACGCCGAUCGGGUGUGCGCACUAAUUUCGGCGUCAAUAUGAUGACCUCCUGGGAGUGGGGGACUACUAGGUUGCUUAGGGAGAGGUGAACUGGUCCAGGUUGGAAAUGGAGCAGGUCAAAACUCCCGUGCUGAUCAGUAGUGGGAUCACGCCUAUGAAUAGCCACUGCACUCCAGCCUGGGCAACAUAGAGACCCCGUCUCU
This 297-nucleotide signal recognition particle RNA is filed under the name Saimiri boliviensis boliviensis (Bolivian squirrel monkey). RNAcentral describes it as "Metazoan signal recognition particle RNA (ENSSBOG00000012682.1)". It matches the Rfam family "Metazoan signal recognition particle RNA". From Rfam's summary of the family: The signal recognition particle (SRP) is a universally conserved ribonucleoprotein. It is involved in the co-translational targeting of proteins to membranes. The eukaryotic SRP consists of a 300-nucleotide 7S RNA and six proteins: SRPs 72, 68, 54, 19, 14, and 9. The record is from RNAcentral. Lineage: Eukaryota; Metazoa; Chordata; Mammalia; Primates; Cebidae.